AUUGAACGCUGGCGGCAGGCCUAACACAUGCAAGUCGAGCGGAUGAAGGGAGCUUGCUCCUGGAUUCAGCGGCGGACGGGUGAGUAAUGCCUAGGAAUCUGCCUGGUAGUGGGGGAUAACGUCCGGAAACGGGCGCUAAUACCGCAUACGUCCUGAGGGAGAAAGUGGGGGAGCUUCGGACCUCUCGCUCUCAGAUGAGCCUAGGUCGUAUUAGCUAGUUGGUGGGGUAAAGGCCUACCAAGGCGACGAUCCGUAACUGGUCUGAGAGGAUGAUCAGUCACACUAGAACUGAGACACGGUCCAGACGCCUACGGGAGGCCGCAGUGGGGAAUAUUGGACAAUGGGCGAAAGCCUGAUCCAGCCAUGCCGCGUGUGUGAAGAAGGUCUUCGGAUUGUAAAGCACUUUAAGUUGGGAGGAAGGGCAGUAAGUUAAUACCUUGCUGUUUUGACGUUACCAACAGAAUAAGCACCGGCUAACUUCGUG
Molecule: ribosomal RNA, 484 nt
Filed under: uncultured bacterium
Lineage: Bacteria
Description: partial 16S ribosomal RNA
Rfam family: Bacterial small subunit ribosomal RNA
Source: RNAcentral